UCCGGUUGAUCCUGCCGGAGGCCACUGCUAUGGGGGUCCGACUAAGCCAUGCGAGUCAUGGGGCGCCUUGCGCGCACCGGCGGACGGCUCAGUAACACGUCGGUAACCUACCCUCGGGAGGGGGAUAACCCCGGGAAACUGGGGCUAAUCCCCCGUAGGCCUGAGGUACUGGAAGGUCCUCAGGCCGAAAGGGUCUUUGACCGCCCGAGGAUGGGCCGGCGGCCGAUUAGGUAGUUGGUGGGGUAACGGCCCACCAAGCCGAAGAUCGGUACGGGCCAUGAGAGUGGGAGCCCGGAGAUGGACACUGAGACACGGGUCCAGGCCCUACGGGGCGCAGCAGGCGCGAAACCUCCGCAAUGCUCGAAAGAGCGACGGGGGGACCCCCAGUGCCGUGGCAUCGCCACGGCUUUUCCGGAGUGUAAAGAGCUCCGGGAAUAAGGGCUGGGCAAGGCCGGUGGCAGCCGCCGCGGUAAUACCGGCGGCCCGAGUGGUGGCCGCUAUUAUUGGGCCUAAAGCGUCCGUAGCCGGGCCAGUAAGUCCCUGGCGAAAUCCCACGGCUCAACCGUGGGGCUUGCUGGGGAUACUGCUGGCCUUGGGACCGGGAGAGGCGGAGGGUACUCCUGUGGUAGGGGUGAAAUCCUAUA
RNAcentral lists this ribosomal RNA (644 nucleotides) under uncultured archaeon. RNAcentral's name for it is "bacterial SSU rRNA". It matches the Rfam family "Archaeal small subunit ribosomal RNA", at positions 1 to 644 of the family's 1478-position model. The record is from RNAcentral.